AUUUAAGUAGCUUAAUGUUAAAGCAACAGCCUUGUAAACUGUCGGACAGAAGUUAAUAACCUCUCUUAAAUU
Molecule: transfer RNA, 72 nt
Filed under: Boulengerula taitana (Taita Mountains caecilian)
Lineage: Eukaryota; Metazoa; Chordata; Amphibia; Gymnophiona; Herpelidae
Description: tRNA-Thr
Rfam family: tRNA
About the family: Transfer RNA (tRNA) molecules are approximately 80 nucleotides in length. Their secondary structure includes four short double-helical elements and three loops (D, anti-codon, and T loops).
Source: RNAcentral